RNAcentral lists this long non-coding RNA (889 nucleotides) under Ananas comosus (pineapple). RNAcentral's name for it is "long non-coding RNA (ACOM_LNC026183)". The record is from RNAcentral. Lineage: Eukaryota; Viridiplantae; Streptophyta; Magnoliopsida; Poales; Bromeliaceae.
AUUUAGUACUUAAAAUUUAAAUUUAUUAUAAUUUUUAAUUUUUAAUUAUUAUUAUUAAAUUAUAAAAUUUAGUUUUUUUUGUUAAAUAUUAAUAAAUUAGUAAUGUGUAAGUGAUAUGAAAGUAUUGUGAUUCAUGAUGCGACAAUAAUUAAAAUAUUAUAUCACUUUCUUAUCAAUUAUAUAUCAAUAUUUAGUCAAUUAAUUGAAUUGCUGAAAUUUGAUUAUAAUAAUUUUAAAAAAUUGAGCCAAAAAUUAUAAUAAUUUAAUAUAUGAGGAUCAAAAUGUUACACGAAUUUGUAGUUUGAGGACCAAAAAUAUAAUUUAUCUUUCUGUGUUUUAGAAGGCCAAAAAUCUUAGGAAUAAUUUCAUAGAUGCCCUUCUAGAAACUAUUAAUUUCACCAAUACCCUUCUAAAAUUGAUAAUAUCAUAAAUACCCUCCAAUAUAUUAAAAAUUAUCAUAAAUACCCUCUAUUAGUUAAAAUCCGUUAAGACCUGUAUGAAACGGAGUUAAAUUUUUAAAAUACCAUUUUUACCCUUUAUCUCUUAUUAAUAGUAGAAAUACUAAGAGGUAUUUCAAGAUAUUUUUUGUAAAUUUAAAUUUGAGUAUUUAAUAUAUCAUAUUAAAUUAAAUUAUUAAUAUAUAUUAAUUAUUAAAAAAAUAUAAAAAUUAUAUUUUAUAUAUAGUAUGUUUUUAUCUGAUUUUGGUUUUGUUUUUUGGUUUUGAAUUUCGGUUCAGCUUCAGUUUAAAUAUAGACUAAACGUAUAACUGAAUUUAAAUAUGGAUAAUUCCUGAACUUUUUUUUUCAUUUAAAUUUUUAUAUAUAAUUAUUUAUUCGAUAAAAUAUAAAUAGAGCCACUAGAUUUGAUAAAAUUAUCAAAAAAUUAAAAA